RNAcentral lists this ribosomal RNA (906 nucleotides) under Bacillus subtilis. RNAcentral describes it as "bacterial SSU rRNA". It matches the Rfam family "Bacterial small subunit ribosomal RNA", at positions 62 to 954 of the family's 1533-position model. The record is from RNAcentral. Lineage: Bacteria; Bacillati; Bacillota; Bacilli; Caryophanales; Bacillaceae.
UCGAGCGGACAGAUGGGAGCUUGCUCCCUGAUGUUAGCGGCGGACGGGUGAGUAACACGUGGGUAACCUGCCUGUAAGACUGGGAUAACUCCGGGAAACCGGGGCUAAUACCGGAUGCUUGUUUGAACCGCAUGGUUCAAACAUAAAAGGUGGCUUCGGCUACCACUUACAGAUGGACCCGCGGCGCAUUAGCUAGUUGGUGAGGUAAUGGCUCACCAAGGCGACGAUGCGUAGCCGACCUGAGAGGGUGAUCGGCCACACUGGGACUGAGACACGGCCCAGACUCCUACGGGAGGCAGCAGUAGGGAAUCUUCCGCAAUGGACGAAAGUCUGACGGAGCAACGCCGCGUGAGUGAUGAAGGUUUUCGGAUCGUAAAGCUCUGUUGUUAGGGAAGAACAAGUACCGUUCGAAUAGGGCGGUACCUUGACGGUACCUAACCAGAAAGCCACGGCUAACUACGUGCCAGCAGCCGCGGUAAUACGUAGGUGGCAAGCGUUGUCCGGAAUUAUUGGGCGUAAAGGGCUCGCAGGCGGUUUCUUAAGUCUGAUGUGAAAGCCCCCGGCUCAACCGGGGAGGGUCAUUGGAAACUGGGGAACUUGAGUGCAGAAGAGGAGAGUGGAAUUCCACGUGUAGCGGUGAAAUGCGUAGAGAUGUGGAGGAACACCAGUGGCGAAGGCGACUCUCUGGUCUGUAACUGACGCUGAGGAGCGAAAGCGUGGGGAGCGAACAGGAUUAGAUACCCUGGUAGUCCACGCCGUAACGAUGAGUGCUAAGUGUUAGGGGGUUUCCGCCCCUUAGUGCUGCAGCUAACGCAUUAAGCACUCCGCCUGGGGGAGUACGGUCGCAGACUGAACUCAAGGAAUUGACGGGGGCCGCACAGCGGUGGAGCAUGGUGGUUUAUUCGA